UACGAAGGGGGCUAGCGUUGUUCGGAUUUACUGGGCGUAAAGCGCACGUAGGCGGAUCUUUAAGUCAGAGGUGAAAUCCCAAGGCUCAACCUUGGAACUGCCUUUGAUACUGGGGAUCUUGAGUCCGGGAGAGGUGAGUGGAACUGCGAGUGUAGAGGUGAAAUUCGUAGAUAUUCGCAAGAACACCAGUGGCGAAGGCGGCUCACUGGCCCGGUACUGACGCUGAGGUGACGAAGGCCAGGGGAGGCAAACGGG
RNAcentral lists this ribosomal RNA (255 nucleotides) under uncultured bacterium. RNAcentral describes it as "partial 16S ribosomal RNA". It matches the Rfam family "Bacterial small subunit ribosomal RNA", at positions 524 to 776 of the family's 1533-position model. The record is from RNAcentral.